UACGAAGGGUGCAAGCGUUCCUCGGAAUUCCUGGGCGUAAAGCGUGCGUAGGUGGUUCGUUAAGUCUGAUGUGAAAGCCCUGGGCUCAACCUGGGAAUGGCAUUGGAAACUGGCGACCUAGAGUGCGGUAGAGGGUAGUGGAAUUCCCGGUGUAGCAGUGAAAUGCGUAGAGAUCGGGAGGAACAUCUGUGGCGAAGGCGACUGCCUGGACCAGCACUGACACUGAGGCACGAAAGCGUGGGGAGCAAACAGG
Molecule: ribosomal RNA, 253 nt
Filed under: uncultured bacterium
Lineage: Bacteria
Description: partial 16S ribosomal RNA
Rfam family: Bacterial small subunit ribosomal RNA
Source: RNAcentral